This 496-nucleotide ribosomal RNA is filed under the name uncultured bacterium. RNAcentral's name for it is "partial 16S ribosomal RNA". It matches the Rfam family "Bacterial small subunit ribosomal RNA", at positions 29 to 507 of the family's 1533-position model. The record is from RNAcentral.
AUGAACGCUGGCGGCGUGCCUAAUACAUGCCAGUCGCGCGAACAGACGAGGAGCUUGCUCCUCUGACGUUAGCGGCGGACGGGUGAGUAACACGUGGAUAACCUACCUAUAAGACUGGGAUAACUUCGGGAAACCGGAGCUAAUACCGGAUAAUAUAUUGAACCGCAUGGCUCAAUAGUGAAAGACGGUUUUGCUGUCACUUAUAGAUGGAUCCGCGCCGCAUUAGCUAGUUGGUAAGGUAACGGCUUACCAAGGCAACGAUGCGUAGCCGACCUGAGAGGGUGAUCGGCCACACUGGAACUGAGACACGGUCCAGACUCCUACGGGAGGCAGCAGUAGGGAAUCUUCCGCAAUGGGCGAAAGCCUGACGGAGCAACGCCGCGUGAGUGAUGAAGGUCUUCGGAUCGUAAAACUCUGUUAUUAGGGAAGAACAAAUGUGUAAGUAACUAUGCACGUCUUGACGGUACCUAAUCAGAAAGCCACGGCUAACUACGUG